AGAUUGAACGCUGGCGGCAGGCCUAACACAUGCAAGUCGAGCGGAUGAGAGGAGCUUGCUCCUUGAUUCAGCGGCGGACGGGUGAGUAAUGCCUAGGAAUCUGCCUAUUAGUGGGGGACAACGUUUCGAAAGGAACGCUAAUACCGCAUACGUCCUACGGGAGAAAGCAGGGGACCUUCGGGCCUUGCGCUAAUAGAUGAGCCUAGGUCGGAUUAGCUAGUUGGUGAGGUAAUGGCUCACCAAGGCUACGAUCCGUAACUGGUCUGAGAGGAUGAUCAGUCACACUGGAACUGAGACACGGUCCAGACUCCUA
This 313-nucleotide ribosomal RNA is filed under the name uncultured soil bacterium. Its description in RNAcentral is "bacterial SSU rRNA". It matches the Rfam family "Bacterial small subunit ribosomal RNA", at positions 26 to 341 of the family's 1533-position model. The record is from RNAcentral.